RNA transcript from Nicotiana attenuata, 3210 nucleotides. It is a transcript of the gene named putative late blight resistance protein homolog R1A-10, with no coding region annotated. The record is from RefSeq and is a predicted model, not a curated record. Lineage: Eukaryota; Viridiplantae; Streptophyta; Magnoliopsida; Solanales; Solanaceae. The transcript is spliced from 3 exons.
UCAGCAGGUGAAGUCAACUGGAGAUGAAGAAUAACCAAUAAUUCAGCAGACAAGUCAACCGGAGAUGAAGAAUUCCACAUCUAAUCUUCUUUAUAUGCAGCUAUUGUAAGAAGAUUUCAUCGCUAAGUAAUUAACCUUACACUCCGAGUACAAUUUUGCUUUACCCAAUAAAAUAUAUAUAUGGCAGAUGCAGUGGUAAAUUUUCUGCUGGAGAACCUACUGCAGCUAGUCACUAACAAUGUCAAGCUGAUUUCAGGUGUUGAGAAAGACUUUCAAAAUCUGCUAGAAGAAGUUCGCCGCCUAAAAGCUUUCCUUGAUGAUGCAGCAAAAUACCAUAGCGAUAGCAGUCUGUGGAAACAGUUGGUCAGAGACAUCAGAAUUACAGUGCAUAGAGCUGAGGAUGUCAUUGACAAAUUCCUUGUUCAGGCGAAGCUACAUCAAGAGAAGAAUAAAGUGAAAAGGUCUUUUGAUUUAUGCCAUGUUAGAAAAGUUUGGGAUCUAGCAAAGGAUAUUAAAACAAUUCAUCAAAAUGUGAAGGAAUUUCGCCAAAAUAAUCAAAAGGCUUUUCAGCCCAAACCAAUGCUCGAUCUACCACAAAAAGUUGCACGGGAGCCUCAGGAUACUCUGUUGGAGUAUAAAGAAGUGGUUGGCUUUGAUUACGAAGCGGAAUAUGUGAUCAAACGACUUGUUGAAGGAUCAAAGGAUCUGGAAGUUGUUCCUAUUGUGGGUAUGCCUGGAAUUGGCAAAACCACAUUGGCAAGGAAAGUUUGGAGUCAUUCUCAGAUUUCAAAUAAUUUUUCCAAGAAAAUUUGGGUUUAUGUCGGCAGGUCAUACGAACUAAAGGGUAUCCUUUCUAAGAUUCUCAUAUCGUUCAUGGAACGCAUUGAAGAAUUUCGCUAUAAAGAUGUGAACGGAUUAGCUGAAGUAAUAUGUGAUUUUAUGGCUAAAGAAGGUGGUAGAUGUCUCAUUGUCCUGGACGAUGUGUGGGCUAAAGAACUUGUGGUUGUGGAUUUGGUCAAAAGAGUUCUCGAACAAAACAACAAAGGUCAUCGGAUCGUGAUGACCACUCGCGACGAGUAUGUGGCUAGCUAUGCCAGUGAACAUCCUCAUCGUCUGAAAUAUCUAUCUGACGAAGAAAGUUUUCAAUUGCUGGAAAAGAGAGCUUUCGGUAGUGAAAGAUGUCCUGACGAGUUAGUAGAACUUGGAAAAAGUAUUGCAACGAAAUGUAGUGGAUUACCACUUGCAGUACAGUUAAGUGCUGGAGCCUUAAGAUCUCGUCCGAACAAAAAUUAUUGGGAAAGAAUCGAGAAAAAUGUGGGGCUGUACCUUGUCAUAGAGAAUGACCCUGCAAGUUGCUGGGAAAUUGUGGAAACCAGUUACAACAUUUUGCCCCAAGAAAUGAAGGCGUGUUUCUUGUAUUGCUUCGCCUUUCUUCAAGGUUAUUCCAUCCCUGCUCAGAAAUUGAUUCGCUUGUGGAUCGCCGAGGGACUAAUAAAGUCCAGUCCGACGUGUACCUUCGAGGAGCUAGCAGAGAAUUACUUGGAGGAGUUUGCUCUGAGGGGUCUAGUCACAUUGUCGAGGGAUGGUGAUUCAAUAAAAGAAAUUGGUUUUCACGACGUGUUGUAUGAGUUCUACAAGACGGAGGCGAUAAUGGAAAGUGUUUUCCAAGAACUACGUCUAACACCGGAUCAGAUUCUUCCUUCCAUACAAGAUCCAGAUACUUCUCGUCGCUUGUGUAUUGAAUCAUCUGUUCUGCGUGAUUUUCUCUCCAGAAAACAAUUAAAUGCAGAACAUGUUAGAUCUUUCUUAUGCUUUUCGACAACAGAAAGACAAAUCGAGUUGUCUCUUCAUGAUGUUAGAAUCAUCUCCCAAGCAUUUCCACUGAUCAGGGUCUUGGAAAUCCAAUCUGUUAAAAUUUUCCUCCCCAUGUAUCUUAACCAACUAUUUCAUUUGAGGUAUAUUGCUAUCUCAGGUGAUUUUGCGGAACUUCCUGCAUCCUUUGGUAAGUUCUGGAAUUUACAAUUUCUCAUAGUUAAUACAAGUACACCUGAGCCCACUCUUAAAAUAAAAGCAAAUAUAUGGAACUUGUCACGGUUGAGGCAUCUAAAGACCAACAUCCCCGCAGAAUUGCUGCCCCCUCCUAACCCAACGGUUGAAGGCUCUUGCCUACAAAUUCUGUCUAAAGUUGCACCAAAAAGUUGCAAUAAAGUUGUGCUUGCAAAGGCCGGAAAUCUCAAAAAGUUGAGUAUUCAAGGGCGACUGGGAGCUUUUCUUGAGACUAACAAGGACGGAUUCAGCACUUUUCAAGGGUUAGGGCGCCUAGAAAAAUUGAAACUGAUGAAUGAUGUUCCUUACAUGAGUGAAGCUCUUCACCUUCCUCCAGAAUUAUUCAGAUUUUUGCGCAAACUGAAGAAGUUAACUUUGUCAAAUACAAGGUUUAAAUGGAACGAGGCGGAUAGACUGGGCCAGCUGGAAUGCCUUGAGGUCUUGAGGUUGAAAGAAGAUGCAUUCACGGGGAAGUCCUGGAAGCCAGAGAAAGGAGGUUUUAAACAACUCCAGGUCUUGUGGAUUCAAAAGGCUGACCUCGAAUGUUGGGAGGCUUCAAGAGAUCACUUCCCAAGACUUAAGAAACUUGUUCUUAACUGUGCUAAGCUUGAGAAUGUGCCAGUUGAGUUUUCUCAUCUCGGCCGGUCGCGCUCCUGAAAGCAUCAAACUCUAACUCAUUGUAUUACCUCCUGAAACUGAUUUAAAAGGAAAGAAUCAGGGCAUUGACAUUGCUGGAAGCCUUGGAUACAUGGAGAAAUUGAAUAUUGCUCUUUGAUAUUGAUUCACUGCAUUUCUUGUUUUUUGCAGUCCAGUCUUCUGAUAAUAAAACUUUUUUCUCUUUUGUUUGUUCAAGCAUUGUGAAGUUGAAAAUAAGUCUCCGCCUGUAGUUAGUUAGGGGGUCAGUGAUACAAGUUAAAAAAGUCGAGCAGUAGAAGCUGAGUAGUUAAAGCUGUAACAGAAUCCGAGCUGGCAGCUGAUGUGGCAUAGUUAGUUAGCUGAUGUGGCAUAGUUAGUUACAAGUUAGUUACGGCAGUUAUAGUUAGUUAGAGGUUAGCUUACAAGUUGUACUUCUAGAAUCUUCAGCUGAGCUUAUAUAGCUGAAUCAAUUGUACUGGAUAUAUACUUUUGGAGGUUAAUACAAUCUACUCUCUCUAAUCUCUUCUC